RNAcentral lists this ribosomal RNA (253 nucleotides) under uncultured bacterium. RNAcentral describes it as "partial 16S ribosomal RNA". It matches the Rfam family "Bacterial small subunit ribosomal RNA", at positions 524 to 776 of the family's 1533-position model. The record is from RNAcentral.
UACGUAGGGUGCGAGCGUUGUCCGGAAUUAUUGGGCGUAAAGAUCUCGUAGGCGGUUUGUCGCGUCGGCCGUGAAAACUUGGGGCUUAACCCCAAGCCUGCGGUCGAUACGGGCAGACUUGAGUUCGGCAGGGGAGACUGGAAUUCCUGGUGUAGCGGUGAAAUGCGCAGAUAUCAGGAGGAACACCGGUGGCGAAGGCGGGUCUCUGGGCCGAUACUGACGCUGAGGAGCGAAAGCGUGGGGAGUGAACAGG